GACGAACGCUGGCGGCGUGCCUAAUACAUGCAAGUCGAACGAGAGCGACCGGUGCUUGCACUGGUCAAUCUAGUGGCGAACGGGUGAGUAACACGUGGGUAACCUGCCCAUCAGAGGGGGAUAACAUUCGGAAACGGAUGCUAAAACCGCAUAGGUCUUCGAACCGCAUGGUUUGAAGAGGAAAAGAGGCGCAAGCUUCUGCUGAUGGAUGGACCCGCGGUGCAUUAGCUAGUUGGUGAGGUAACGGCUCACCAAGGCCGUGAUGCAUAGCCGACCUGAGAGGGUGAUCGGCCACAUUGGGACUGAGACACGGCCCAAACUCCUACGGGAGGCAGCAGUAGGGAAUCUUCCGCAAAGGACGCAAGUCUGACGGAGCAACGCCGCGUGAGUGAAGAAGGUUUUCGGAUCGUAAAACUCUGUUGUUAGAGAAGAACAAGUGCUAGAGUAACUGUUAGCGCCUUGACGGUAUCUAACCAGAAAGCCACGGCUAACUACGUG
RNAcentral lists this ribosomal RNA (498 nucleotides) under uncultured bacterium. RNAcentral's name for it is "partial 16S ribosomal RNA". It matches the Rfam family "Bacterial small subunit ribosomal RNA", at positions 28 to 507 of the family's 1533-position model. The record is from RNAcentral.